Molecule: long non-coding RNA, 204 nt
Filed under: Lathyrus oleraceus (garden pea)
Lineage: Eukaryota; Viridiplantae; Streptophyta; Magnoliopsida; Fabales; Fabaceae
Description: Pisum sativum (pea) long non-coding RNA (PSAT_LNC013851)
Source: RNAcentral
ACAAGUUAAGGAUGGGUUUUAAAGACUUGGGAAAACCCCCAAAAGAUCAGUAUUGUCUUAAACACCGUAAGUCUUCUAACUACAGAGAUUCAAUUUGGAUACUUGUUAUGCCAUGACCUUGAAACCUCACCCCUAAAUAAGUCUUUGAGUAGUUUAUCCUAGGAACCUUACUGUUUUCAUUUUUCUUAUUUAUCUUCCUUUUUU